Molecule: long non-coding RNA, 16019 nt
Filed under: Populus trichocarpa (black cottonwood)
Lineage: Eukaryota; Viridiplantae; Streptophyta; Magnoliopsida; Malpighiales; Salicaceae
Description: long non-coding RNA (PTRI_LNC001380)
Source: RNAcentral
GACCACUCCAAGCUUCUCGUUGCUACCCUGUUCCGAUUAGAAAUAGAGAUUCAAGAAGCUAUGCUACGUCCUGAGAGAAGAGUUCCAACAAAAUCUACUGUAAGUUCCCAAGACACUCUUUUUCCAGAAAAUCAUUCCUCUGCUUUGCAUAAAGCGAUCCAUGAAUCUGUAGAAGAGGAACCUGUAUGGUUAGGACAUUGUCUUGUUGGGUCAAUUAAAGAGGGUGUGAAUUAACGUGGGCCUGGUUUCACUAUGCAAUAGAGACAAUGAAGAUAAAGCAGGAAGAGGAAAAGAAGCCUCAAUUGCUCAACAUGGCAAAUUCAGUUGAAGUGACUCGACUCAAAGAAACCAAAUUCAGUUGUUUAUAUUUGCUUUGGAAGCAUGGCGAACUUCACUGCCUCUCAGCUUAAGGAGAUUGCAGCAGGUCUCGAAGCUUCUGGGCAUCAAUUUAUCUGGGUAGUUAGAAGAAGCAAAAAGGGUCAAGAAGACAAGGAAGAUUGUUUACUUCAAGGAUUUUAGGGAAGAAUGGAAGGCAAAGGCCUAAUUAUUAGAGGAUGGGCACUCCAAGUUUUGAUUCUUGAUCAUGAAGCAAUAGGUGCAUUUGUGACUCAUUGAGGAUGGUGACCGAUGUUUUGCUGAGCAAUUCCAUAAUGAAAAGUUGGUGACCGAUGUUUUAAAAACUGGAGUUGGUGUUGGAGUUAAGGAAUGGCUUACAGUGCAUGGAGAUUGUUGUAACCUAUUUUUGGGUCCCCCCACAAAAAUAUAAAUAUAUAGCCGGAAGAAAUUAGAAAAAUAAUAAAAGGUGGGAGCGCUCAGAAAAGAAUCAGAAAAAUUGAUGAAGGAGGUUCAGAAAUACAAGGAGUGAAAUUUUUUACAGGAUAUACUUGAAUGAUGAGAGCCCUGUUAGAAAAGAAAAAUUAAUUUUGAAGAGAAAAGGCCAAAAUUGGAUGUUUAUGGACUCAAUUGGAUUUUAUUGAAGGUUUAAUUGAAUUUAUAGAGGAUUUGAUUGCAAGAAAAAUUGAUUUUUAAGUCAAUUUAGGCUUUAAUUGGAAGAAAUUAAAGUUCUGGGGUCGAAUUAUAAUUUUUGAGAGUUGAUUUAGUUAAAUCAGGGGUUAAAUUGAAGAAAUUGAAAGUUUGUUGAUCAAUUGAGGGUCAAAUUGCAUAAAUCAGAGACCAAGGACCGAAGUGAAACACACGGCCAACUAUGGGGGCGGAGACCGAAAUACUGUUCCUCUUUCUUCUUCCCCCAAACAUGCAGCGGGGAAGAAGGAAAAAGGAGCUUUUGUUUAAAUUUUGUCGGGGCCUCUCUCGCCUGGAGCCCACCGACCAACCCGAGGCCCCAUGCCGUUGGAGCCGAACCUCGACAGUAGCACCCAAUGGCCGACCAGCCGCCGCUUGCCCUACUCCCAUGCGCAACGGUAAGAAGCCCCACUCACUUGGCUCUAUAAAUAGCACCCAACACAGCAGUAAAGGGGGGAGGGGAAAACGGAAAAAAAAAACAGAGGAGAGGGGGAUUUUGGAGGGAUGAGAGAGGGCUCUUUUGAAACUGAAAAGGGAGGGAGAGUUUGAACGAAAGAGAAAGGAGGAGGAAGGAAACACAGGAGGACAAGACAGAUAGAAGAGGGGAGAGACAGACAGAGGGGGAGACGAUAGAGACAGGAGGCAGGAGGGAAAGGAAAGCACAAAAAAAAAUAAACAGAGAAAGACACAGAAGAAGGAACGAAAGCAGGGGAACCUUUGGAAAGUUGAACGAGAGAAAAGUGAAUGGAGAGCAGAGAAGGAAAGGAUUUCUGAAACAGAGGGAGGAAAAAUACAAACGCACCAACACUGCUAGGGAUCUUCGUUUUCUUGCUCACCUGCUUCUCCCUCCCGCUGCAGCACCACAACACCACUGGAAAAAAAAAAAGCAGCAACAGCACCUCUGCAAGGAGAAGAAGAACUGAGCCUCACUCCUGGAACCGCUGCCAUUCCUCUUCAUCAACACUGCCCACCUCCUUCCUCAGCUCAUCAUCUUCAUCCCAACCGGCGCUGCACCAUUGGAAGAAAAGGCGGCAUUUGCUCUGCACGGGGAAGAAGAAGGAGUAAACAGCUGUUGUCCUCAACCUUCCCAGCCACUGUCAUCUUCCUCCCACCCGUUGCUGCGCCAUUUGAAGAAGGGCAGCGACCUGCACCUCUACUCAGACGAAGAUAGCAGCAGCAAGACACUGCCAGACACCAACUCACCAAGGAUAGCUCACCAUCUUCAUCCCAGCCAUUCCCUACCACCUGCACCUCCAUGAAGUUGAUGUAGAGAGGGAAGAACAGCGUUGACAGAGGAAACAAAGGAAACCAAGAGAAGGAGCAACGCCUCUGCAGAGGGGAAGAGAAAACAGCUGCUGUCCCCGGCUUCCACAGCCACCGACCAACAUCCAAGCCACCCCCGGUCGGCCACCAUCAUCACCACCUCCAGCUGCCACCAUUCUCUCAGUCGGCAACAGCACCAUGAGAAAUGGAAGGAGAAGACAGAAACAGAGGGAAACAGAGUAGAAAAAAAACACAGAGAAGAAAGGAAGAAAGGCCGACCACCCUCCCGGUCAUCCUCCGGUCAGCAACCGCCAGCAGCACCGCCUUCAGAGCCACCACAGGUCAGCCCUCUGACCCUUAUCUCUGUUUACUGUUCAUCGUCUUGCAUGCAGAACGUGCACUGUGCACGUUCUGCAAGCAAGGAAAUAAUUACCCGGUUACUGUGUGCACAGUAACCGGUUAAUUAAUUAACGGGUUACUGUUCACCUGCACUGUGUGUACAGUGAACAAUAACCAGCCAUGUGGUUUUGGGCUGGGCUGAGUCCAGCCCUGUAGAAACCAGGCCCCAAUUUAUUUCGGGCCGAUUUUGGCCCAGUUUCCUUUUGGGCCGGGUCUGGCCCGCUCGAACAAAAAUUCUUCAAAAAAUUAUUUCAAAAAAUGUGAUUUUCUGUAAUUUUAUUACUGUAUUUUGAUCAAUAUCGGUUUGUAUUUUUAUACUGUAAAGAUACAAAUCCGGUUUUAAAAUAAUCGGUUUUUGUCAAGUUUUCAAAAAAUGUUUUGUUUUCAUGCAUACGGCCUAGUCUCUCCAAUAUAUAUAUAUAUAUAAAUAUUAUAACAUCAUAUUUUUACACAACAAAGGAAAUUUUCAAAAAACAAUAUAUGUAUUAGCAUGCAUUUUGGCUUUAAUAACCAGUCUAUUUAAGCCAUGAGAACUAGGCCAAUAUUUCAAAAAUUCUAAAAAAUCUUUUGUUUUCUUUUAGUAUUUGGGAUUACGAAUUUAUACGUAAAACGUAUUCCUAAAUAUUAAUAAUAAAGUUUUGGUAUAGACAUUAGAACGGUUAGGACUUUACCCGAGAAGAUAAAGACCUUCUUACUAAGGAGGAUUUUUCUUGAACCAUAGACAGACCAACAACUAGGAAAACAUGAAAACACCUUAAAUUUUAUCAGACAAUAAAACGAUGCAGCUUACCUUAGGUAGGGCGUAUUUGGGGUGCUAAUACCUUCCCUUUACGCAACCAGUCCCCGUACCCGAUCUCUGAGACCAGUUAGGGUUUCUAGUGACCAAAAUACUAGGUGGCGACUCCCAUUCCAUUUUCUACCAAUAAAAGACUAUUUUUUUUGUAUCCCCAUAGAUAUAGAUAAAUUUACAUUGUAGAUUUAAGAAAAUGGAAAAAAAACUUCAAUAGAUUUUCGCCGCGACGCCGCACACGUGCGACAGAAUGGCGACUCCACUGGGGACCUUGUGGACUAAGCUUUGUUUUUGUCUGAAUUGUUUUUGUUUUCGUGUGUUUUUUAAUAUACCUUUCCUUUUGUUAUCUGCUUAUAUGCUUUAAAUAUUUUUACGCAUAUUGUUCAUGCAUUUGUAUAGAACUGUCUCAUGCAUCUUAUAGAACUGUCACAUGCAUCACAUACUUUGAUUUUGAGAAGCACACACAAGCUUUAAGCUAGGAGGGGGAUUAGCGAUCUGCCCUAUGACUAUUGGUCAGGGUUCAGAUGCGUGAAACACCCAACUCAUAUCUGAGUGCCUGCUUGGUAAUGGUGGGUAUACUUACCUUAACUGUUCCUUGCAACGCCCCCAUACUGUCUUUACGAAGAACGUCACUGGGCAGAUAUGAGACCCUUUUAAAGACCAAAUAGAAAACCUACCCAUUCUCACCUAAUAAAUAGAACUUGUCCUUGGGAUAUCUAUCUUACGUUCAUUUGCAUCAUGAUUAAUAAUGUUAAAUUCAUCAAUCCAGGUUCUGAGCCGAAAUCAUGACUAAGUACCUAUCUUUCCAAGAGUUUGGGCAAGACUCUGAGUUGACUCAAGUAGCUGAAGGAAAAUGCCCAAGAAUCGAUGCUAGUAGGUUGCCUUGUAUUACCAAGAUAAAUCACAUGGUAAAUGACUUGGGGAAGUUAGUGUUUAUUAUGGAAUAUAUUGAUGAGACUAUUUUUGAAAGGCGAUACGGGAGAAUUGCACAACUAAUGAGGUUACCCGUACAAGCAGCAGCAAUCAAAGCCCUGCUGAAUUUUUGGGAUCCUAGUUAUCGGAGUUUUACCUUUGGGAACAUUGAUAUGACACCGACUUUGGAGGAAUAUGAAAGGAUUCUAGAUUUUCCAAACAACAGCCACAAGAUCUAUCCAAGGCGAAGAUUUGAAGACACAGCUUCGGAGGUAGUCAGUUUAUUAGGCUUGGGAAAGAUUAGUCAAUGUAGAGUCGCCGAGGGGGGUUUCAAAUGGAAGAUCAUAGAAGCCCGAAUGAAGAAAAAUGCCGAAGAAGGCAAGUUAGGAGAGGAACGAUACAGGUUGGUGGCCUUCGCCAUUUUUGGGCUAGUAUUGUUCCCUUCCGAAAUCGGAGUCAUCAGUUUGGAAGCAGCAAGUGUCUUCAUAGAGUACGAGCGUGACCAGAUCAAUCCUUCAUCAGCCAUUUUGGGAGAAACCAUGUUAUCACUCAAUCAUUGCAGAAUGCAUGGAAAAGGAGCCAUGAGAUGUUGCACCCCUAUGUUGUAUUUAUGGAUUAUCAAUCAUAUCGAAACACCAAGGGACAUUUUUAACAACUUUUGGUGGUUUGACCUACGACCGUUAAAGGUUACCAUGGAUGAGACUUGGAAGAAUUGGGAUGAGAAAGCAUGGAUAGAUAAGUAUGCAACAUUGCCAAGGAGCAACUUCAAAUGGAAAGCACCAUGGAUGAACAAUGCCAUCUGCAAAAUGAGCUGUGGAAAUAAGAUAUGGGUUCGCUUGAUUGGUAUAACCGGGUACAUCAGUUACGCGCCCGCCCUAGUAACAAGACAGUUGGGUGGAAUGCAGUACGCGCCAAGAACUCUGGGUUUAGCUGAUUUCAUCGGUUUAUUCAAGCACCAACCCUUCCUCGAAGAGAUGGAGCUUAUCCGACAAGAUUGGGAAAGACCCCUGAUGGUAAAAAGGGAAGAAGGGAGCACAUUUGAAACAUCAUUCAGCCAGAAUUAUGCAGUUUGGAGGAAUGAAGAGCUUUUUGAAGAAAGGGGUUUCUCCAUACCAAAACAUCCAGAAUCCGCAAUAGAGCAACCAAAAAAGAAAAGGACUGAUAUUGAGGAAGAGCUGAGAAAGCAGCUAGAACAAUGUAGAAUUGAUCUCAGCAAGAGCAAAGGGCAGCUGCGACUGUUAGAAAAUCAAUUAGAGGAAGAAAACACGAUGAGGGUUUACUUGAACCAGCAGUUGGAAAAACAGGAUAAACAAUUGACAUCUUUAAAGGAAUGGCAGAAAAGGGCCGAGGUAGCUGAAGAAAUAGCAAAAGCGGUCCAGGCUGAGUUAAUGAAUCGAAUAACCGAGUAUGAUGAGUUGUCUAACAAAAACGGGCUCACACAAAAAGAGUUGGCUAAGGUUAAAAGAUCUACCAAAGGCAAGAUGAGUGUCGAUAAGGAGAUGGUGGAUUCCUUGAAAAAAGGAAGGAGCAUUCUUGUAAAGAAAGUAGAAGUUGAAAAAGAGAAAAAUCGGUUAGCCCAUCUCGACAUAGAAGAGGAAAGAAGGAUCAGAGCUCAAUAUAUGAUGCAACUGGAGGAAGAGAGAAGUUCAAGAAAGGCUGCAGAGUCUGAUAUGAGAGAUUACCAGAAAAGAGCCGAGUCUUCAAAAGGAAGGAUGAUGGCUUUACAAUCGGAAAUCAAGAUGCGAGAAGAAGAGAGAAGCCGUUACUUCGAGAUGGAAGAAGAGCUCAGUAAGGCUAAGCAAGAGCGUCAAGAAUGUCAAGAAUGUCAAGGCUACAUGGACAGCUUUACGGUCCAAAUUAACUCCAAAAUAGCCGAGCUGGAUAUCGAAAAGGAAGAACUGCAGAGGGUAAGGGAUAAGUUGGCCCGGUCGGAUGAUAUGGUUCGAGUGUUGGAAAGAAGUAAUGAAGCCCUAGGAGCCAGCAACGAAGUGAUAAUUGCAGAUAACACUGUGUUCCAUGAUAAGAUAAGGCAUAUAACGAAGCAGGUCGAGCAAGCAGCCCGUUAUGCGGAAAGGUUGCAACGACAAGCUACUCAAGUGGGAAAUGAUGCUUUAAAGUAUCGAGAAUAUAUGGCGGCCAUCACCUGUUUUAUUGGGGAUUUAGCUAAUAGAGGAAAUGCCUUUUAAGGGUAGCAAUGUAUAACGCCCUGUUCUGUUAUCAAUGUAUGAGCUUCUUCUAUUUAUAAGAAGGCAUGACCUAUCUUUCUUUCUAAAUAUGUUUUGGUAAGCUACUAUGAUAAAGAACUUGGCAAACCCUCCUUUACAGUAAUCGGGUCAACUCAGAAAUCUUGCCUAAAGGAUUACGAAAGUCAUGAGUCGGCUCUAAAAUAUACAUUGCAUGAGCAUCAUAUUUUCAUCACACAUUUUGUUUUUAAUUCAUCAUAUGCAUUCCAGAUCGUGAAACAUAGGUCCCACAUCCAGAGUCCACCAAACCCGGUCCAGAUCAAGAAUGGAAAAUGAAGAAAGAGCUCACUUAGAGUCGCACUACCAGACCGAGUUGGAAUCUGUGAAAAAUGAAGUUUCUCGACUGACCAAUCUGCUUGAGCAACUCUUAAGAGCCAAGAACGGGGAGGGAACGUCUACCCAACCACCUAUAGGAGCACCGUCAGUUCAUGUCCCGGGGGUAUCUCAGAACUUGGGGGCAGAUUCAGUGACGGGGCAGCAAUUUGCGCCUGCCAUUCCCAUUCAGCCCCCUCAAGCUCACAUCACUGUAGAUGGGCCUUCCGAUAAUAGGUCCACUGGAUUUAUGAACAAUGACAAGAUAUCAGCCUUGGAAGAAAGGUUAAGAGCAGUCGAGGGAAAUGACUGGUUUGACCCCAUGCGAGCGUCUGAAAUAUGCUUGGUGCCAAACAUCACGGUACCAAAAGAUUUUAGGAUACCGGAGUUUAUAAGGUACACUGGGUUGGAAUGCCCAAACACUCACCUUCGAUCUUAUUGCAAUAAGAUGGCUGAGGUGAUUCAUGACGAUAAGUUACUGAUCUACUUUUUCCAAGACAGUCUAUCGGGGUCGGCGCUAAGUUGGUACAUGAGGCUGGAUAAUACCAGGAUUAAGAAAUGGAAGGAUUUAGUGGAGGCUUUCCUUAAGCAAUACAAGUUCAAUUUGGAAAUUGCUCCAGAUCGAACAAGCCUUAUGUCAAUGGAAAAGAGAAGCCAAGAGUCAGUAAAGGCUUAUGCGCAAAGAUGGAGGGACGAGGCCACUUAUGUGCAACCUCCUUUGAUAGAAACGGAGAUGGUGACUUUGUUCGCCAAUACAUUCAAGGCACCCUACUAUGAGCAUUUAAUGGGUAGUUCAGCUCAGCAUUUCUAUGAUGUUGUACGCAUAGCGGAAAGAAUAGAUCAAGGGAUUAAAGCUGGACGCAUAAUUGAGCCAUUGGAGACAAAGGGUUUUAUUGGAAGAAAAAUGAAAGGUCCCGUUAACAACUUCGAAGGUGGGUCCAAUGACAAGAUAACGGAUUCAUAUAACCCUCAUGUGGCCCACAUAAACUUUAACAAAUCUUUUUCCCCUAAUCGAGCAAAUAACCAGUCAAACAUCCAAAACAACGACCAAAGACCAAACACAAGAUACAUUGCAGAACAACUACCGCCAUUACCCAUGCCUUUGAAGGAAAUGUAUGCCAAACUACUGAGCAUUGGACAAAUAGCUCUUAUCCCUACAUUACCACUACAACCACCAUUCCCCAUCUGGUAUAAGCCCGAGUUGACUUGCGAGUACCAUGCUGGUAUUCCCGGACAUUGUCUUGAAACGUGCUACGCUUUCAAGAACAUGUUGUUGAAGCUCAUCAAGAUAGGAUGGGUGUCGUUUGAAGACACACCCAAUAUCAAUUCAAAUCCAUUGCCUGGUCAUGACAAAAGUAAUAGGGGAUAAAGGGUUGGAAAACCUUGGUCAAGAAUCGUCAAUAAUGAAGAAGGCGAGAUCGAAGGAGAAGACAAGGAAACGCAAGUGGGGAAGGAAGAUGAAGCAUUGCCUCGGUUGACUUUCCAGAACGGGUUGACCCAAGAACUUCUCGUAGUUUUCAAAAUGUAAAACAACUUUAUUAGCCUUAGCAUGUUUUUGUCAUUUGCUUUUGUCAUUGCUUUUAUUUUCUCUAUUUGGCAAUCAGGGCUCAUGUUUUCAGCCAGAUUUUAUGUUUGUCUUUGAGCCCACCUUUUUUUAAUAAAUGAUGAGAUUAUGCACUUUUUGAACAAGUUUGAGUGGUUAUAUCAUAAAAUGGUUUAAUAUUAAAAUUUAAGAAAAGCUAACCCUAAAGUACAUCCCUACCUCUGAUAGCGUAAUAAAUGGAUAAAUGAUUAAGUGGUCACUUUAUAAUCAUCUGUAAUUGUCUUUAUCAACCAUAACAAUGUGCAUUUUGAAAAAAAAAAUCAUCAUUAUCCCUUCACGCACUAAAAAAGUUUAUCAUUGGCUGAAUGAAUUUCUUCUCUAUAAAAGCCCAGACUAGGAUCACACCCCUACACUGGGGGCAAAACGAGUUGUUUUUUGAAAAGUUUUACGUGUUUAAAAUUGGUUGGAAGCCCAUAGAUUUGAAAACCAAGCUAAAGCAUUUGACAAAAGCAUGACAAAAAGGCAAAUACAAGUCAUACAUUUUGAGAAAAGGACUACUUGAAGAAAGUCAAAGACUUCUUCUCCAAGAAUAUGAUAGGCAACACGAGAGAUGAAUUCAGCAUACGACUUCAAAAGUAAAGUUCAUGUUAAGAGGGAGUCUCAUGAACUAGAAGAAGAGGAUGGGGCCUAUGUUUCAAAACCAGGUACGAAUGCAUGCAUUGCAUCUAAUCAUAAAUCAUUGCAUGUAUAUUUUUUUGGAUCGUUACAGAAGGAGAUCUUAGCGCAUUCCAACAAGAUUAUGGACGAAGAAAGAAUCAUUGAGUUGAUUCUAGAACAACAAGAAGAGAAGAUAAUGGUUUUCAAACCAUGCCAGCAGGAAGAACGACAUCGAUAGCAUCCGGUAAAAAGGAAUCGCCAAAUGGGAUUCCAAGUUGUUGAGAUCGCCAGAAGGGAUCUCAUAUUUCGAUGGAGGUCGCCAGAAGGGACCUUAAAUUUCAGCUUUUGUAUAAAAGGAAUCGCCAGAUGGGAUUCCAAGUUGUUUGGAUAAAGGAGAUCGUCAGAAGGGAUCUUGUAUUUCGAUGAAGGUCGCCAGAAGGAACUUCAUGUUUUAGCUUUGGUAAAAGGAAUUGCCCGAUGUGAUUCCAAGUUAUUUGAGAUCACCAGAAAGGAUCUCGUACUUCGACAUUCAUCAAGGAAGGUCGCUAGAAGGGACCUCGUAUUGAAACUAUUUCUUAGAAAAGCAUGGAGUUUACUAAGAAUUCUUCCCCUUGGGUAGGUCACCCAUACAAUGAGACCAUCAUUUUUCUUGGGUCCGUCACCCAUACAAUGAGACCAUCAUUUUUCUUGGGUGAGUCACCCAUACAAUGAGACCAUCAUUUUUCUUGGGUGAGUCACCCAUACAAUGAGACCAUCAUUUUUCUUGGGUUAGUCACCCAUACAAUGAGACCAUCAUUUUUCCUGGGUAGGUCACCCAUACAAUGAGACCAUUCUUUAUCUUUUUUUACCUGGGUAGGUCACCCAUAAUAAUGAGGCCAUUCUUCCCCCUGGGUAGGUCACCCAUAAUAAUGAGACCACUCUUUCCUUUUCCCAUUCGGGCAGGUCACCCGUCAUAAUGAGACCACAUACGUGUUUUUGUAUUUGGUUAUGGGUAAAGGAAUCGCCAGAUGGGAUUCCAAGUUGAAUAAAGGAGAUCGCCAGAAGGGAUCUCGUAUUUUGCUAUUUGGAGGUCGCCAGAUGGGACCUCAUAUUUCGUUUGAAUAAAAGGAAUCGCCAGAUGGGAUUCCAAGUUGAAGGAGAUCGCCAGAAGGGAUCUCGUAUUUCGUUAUUUGGAGGUCGCCAGAUGGGACCUCGUAUUACAUGUUGGUUAAAAGGAAUCGCCAGAUGGGAUUCCAAGUUGAAGGAGAUCGCCAGAAGGGAUCUCGUAUUUCGCUAUUUGGAGGUCGCCAGAUGGGAUCUCAUAUUUCGUUUGAAUAAAAGGAAUCGCCAGAUGGGAUUCCAAGUUGAAGGAGAUCGCCAGAAGGGAUCUCGUGUUUCACUAUUUGGAGGUCGCCAGAUGGGACCUCGUAUUUCAUGUUGGUUAAAAAGAAAAAGAAAAAAAAAUAAAUAAUAAAAGAAAGGGAAUCGCCAGAUGGGAUUCCAAGUUGAGUAAGAAACAAUUAUAGAUUUUGGUUUAAAGAGAUCGCCAAAAGGGAUCUCAAGAUGACUAAAUUUUGAUCAUAGUUUUUUCGGGGUUGAGUAAAAAAAAAACAAGUUUCAGAUCAAUCAAGCUUCGACCAGAUCAGUUUUGGGAGUUCCGUUUGGGGUUUAUCUUUAUAAAACUUACUACGCAAAAACCCUGCUCCGUAAGCAUUAUAAAGAGGGGGCAUCUGUUGUAACCCAUUUUUGGGUCCCCCCACAAAAAUAUAAAUAUAUAGCCGGAAGAAAUUAGAAAAAUAAUAAAAGGUGGGAGCGCUCAGAAAAGAAUCAGAAAAAUUGAUGAAGGAGGUUCAGAAAUACAAGGAGUGAAAUUUUUUACAGGAUAUACUUGAAUGAUGAGAGCCCUGUUAGAAAAGAAAAAUUAAUUUUGAAGAGAAAAGGCCAAAAUUGGAUGUUUAUGGACUCAAUUGGAUUUUAUUGAAGGUUUAAUUGAAUUUAUAGAGGAUUUGAUUGCAAGAAAAAUUAAUUUUUAAGUCAAUUUAGGCUUUAAUUGGAAGAAAUUAAAGUUCUGGGGUCGAAUUAUAAUUUUUGAGAGUUGAUUUAGUUAAAUCAGGGGUUAAAUUGAAGAAAUUGAAAGUUUGUUGAUCAAUUGAGGGUCAAAUUGCAUAAAUCAGAGACCAAGGACCGAAGUGAAACACACGACCAACUAUGGGGGGCGGAGACCGAAAUACUGUUCCUCUUUCUUCUUCCCCCGAACAUGCAGCGGGGAAGAAGGAAAAAGGAGCUUUUGUUUAAAUUUUGUCGGGGCCUCUCUCGCCUGGAGCCCACCGACCAACCCGAGGCCCCAUGCCGUUGGAGCCGAACCUCGACAGUAGCACCCAAUGGCCGACCAGCCGCCGCUUGCCCUGCUCCCAUGCGCAACGGUAAGAAGCCCCACUCACUUGGCUCUAUAAAUAGCACCCAACACAGCAGUAAAGGGGGGAGGGGAAAACGGAAAAAAAAAAACAGAGGAGAGGGGGAUUUUGGAGGGAUGAGAGAGGGCUCUUUUGAAACUGAAAAGGGAGGGAGAGUUUGAACGAAAGAGAAAGGAGGAGGAAGGAAACACAGGAGGACAAGACAGAUAGAAGAGGGGAGAGACAGACAGAGGGGGAGACGAUAGAGACAGGAGGCAGGAGGGAAAGGAAAGCACAAAAAAAAAUAAACAGAGAAAGACACAGAAGAAGGAACGAAAGCAGGGGAACCUUUGGAAAGUUGAACGAGAGAAAAGUGAAUGGAGAGCAGAGAAGGAAAGGAUUUCUGAAACAGAGGGAGGAAAAAUACAAACGCACCAACACUGCUAGGGAUCUUCGUUUUCUUGCUCACCUGCUUCUCCCUCCCGCUGCAGCACCACAACACCACUGGAAAAAAAAAAAGCAGCAACAGCACCUCUGCAAGGAGAAGAAGAACUGAGCCUCACUCCUGGAACCGCUGCCAUUCCUCUUCAUCAACACUGCCCACCUCCUUCCUCAGCUCAUCAUCUUCAUCCCAACCGGCGCUGCACCAUUGGAAGAAAAGGCGGCAUUUGCUCUGCACGGGGAAGAAGAAGGAGUAAACAGCUGUUGUCCUCAACCUUCCCAGCCACUGUCAUCUUCCUCCCACCCGUUGCUGCGCCAUUUGAAGAAGGGCAGCGACCUGCACCUCUACUCAGACGAAGAUAGCAGCAGCAAGACACUGCCAGACACCAACUCACCAAGGAUAGCUCACCAUCUUCAUCCCAGCCAUUCCCUACCACCUGCACCUCCAUGAAGUUGAUGUAGAGAGGGAAGAACAGCGUUGACAGAGGAAACAAAGGAAACCAAGAGAAGGAGCAACGCCUCUGCAGAGGGGAAGAGAAAACAGCUGCUGUCCCCGGCUUCCACAGCCACCGACCAACAUCCAAGCCACCCCCGGUCGGCCACCAUCAUCACCACCUCCAGCUGCCACCAUUCUCUCAGUCGGCAACAGCACCAUGAGAAAUGGAAGGAGAAGACAGAAACAGAGGGAAACAGAGUAGAAAAAAAACACAGAGAAGAAAGGAAGAAAGGCCGACCACCCUCCCGGUCAUCCUCCGGUCAGCAACCGCCAGCAGCACCGCCUUCAGAGCCACCACAGGUCAGCCCUCUGACCCUUAUCUCUGUUUACUGUUCAUCGUCUUGCAUGCAGAACGUGCACUGUGCACGUUCUGCAAGCAAGGAAAUAAUUACCCGGUUACUGUGUGCACAGUAACCGGUUAAUUAAUUAACGGGUUACUGUUCACCUGCACUGUGUGUACAGUGAACAGUAACCAGCCAUGUGGUUUUGGGCUGGGCUGAGUCCAGCCCUGUAGAAACCAGGCCCCAAUUUAUUUCGGGCCGAUUUUGGCCCAGUUUCCUUUUGGGCCGGGUCUGGCCCGCUCGAACAAAAAUUCUUCAAAAAAUUAUUUCAAAAAAUGUGAUUUUCUGUAAUUUUAUUACUGUAUUUUGAUCAAUAUCGGUUUGUAUUUUUAUACUGUAAAGAUACAAAUCCGGUUUUAAAAUAAUCGGUUUUUGUCAAGUUUUCAAAAAAUGUUUUGUUUUCAUGCAUACGGCCUAGUCUCUCCAAUAUAUAUAUAUAUAUAAAAAUAUUAUAACAUCAUAUUUUUACACAACAAAGGAAAUUUUCAAAAAACAAUAUAUGUAUUAGCAUGCAUUUUGGCUUUAAUAACCAGUCUAUUUAAGCCAUGAGAACUAGGCCAAUAUUUCAAAAAUUCUAAAAAAUCUUUUGUUUUCUUUUAGUAUUUGGGAUUACGAAUUUAUACGUAAAACGUAUUCCUAAAUAUUAAUAAUAAAGUUUUGGUAUAGACAUUAGAAUGGUUAGGACUUUACCCGAGAAGAUAAAGACCUUCUUACUAAGGAGGAUUUUUCUUGAACCAUAGACAGACCAACAACUAGGAAAACAUGAAAACACCUUAAAUUUUAUCAGACAAUAAAACGAUGCAGCUUACCUUAGGUAGGGUGUAUUUGGGGUGCUAAUACCUUCCCUUUACGCAACCAGUCCCCGUACCCGAUCUCUGAGACCAGUUAGGGUUCCUAGUGACCAAAAUACUAGGUGGCGACUCCCAUUCCAUUUUCUACCAAUAAAAGACAAUAUUUUUUUUGUAUCCCCAUAGAUAUAGAUAAAUUUACAUUGUAGAUUUAAGAAAAUAGAAAAAAAACUUCAAUAGAUUUUCGCCGCGACGCCGCACACGUGCGACAGAGAUCAUGUUAAAAGUGAAGUUGUAGAGAAGCAGAGGAAAUGAGGAGCAGAACAAAGAAGCUAGAAGAAACAACCAGGAAUGCUGUUGAAGAAGGUGGAUCUUCUUGCUCCAAUUUCAGUGCUUUGAUUGAAUAGCUGAGGUGGGGUCGCCCUUGAUACAAAUGCAGAUAUAAGUGUUGUCACGCAUGCAUAGAAUAUUUUGUUUGUACUUAGUAGUGAUUUUGGCAAUUUACAGUAUUAUCAUUCCCUUUAUACAACUUAAUCAAGUCCUCUCUCCUCGAAAAAAAAAAUCAACUACAAAUUAACAAAGUUGCGAGAAUGAGAGUUGAAUGCAGACGCAGGUCACUUUUCAUUUUAUUUUUAGACAAGUCUUGAGAGUUGAAAGAGUAAUCUAUGCAGCUUACAUUUUUAGCCCAAAUAACUAAUCAAAUAAAAAAGUUGAGCUUAGAGACAGUACACUAUAAAGCAUGCACUAGAUAGACAUGCAGGACAAACAAUCAUCACAAACUAGGAACAAUCGUCUCCCCAACAAAUUCACCACAAAAUAAUUGCAAGAAUCUAUGCAGUUUUCAAUGAAGUAAAAACCACCUGCGUCGCCAAUAUGAAUUGAUGUAAAGAAUUGCAAGAAGCGUCUUCACCACAACUAUAUAACAUAUACCAAAACUGAGGUAGAAAAACUUCAUAUCUAUGAAACCAUCAUCUCCUUGUUCAUCAUUAUCCUUUGGUUGCCUGAUUCUUCUUCAUUACAAUUAUUUCCCAAUGGAGAUCCACACAAAAAAAAGAUUUUCUUCAUAACUGUUUUCAUUGAAGGUCUCAAACUGAUAUUUUUUUUCGAGAGUCUUACCUGAUAAGUUAUUAUACGCCACACUAAAAACUGCUAGUAAGUUGCCGAGAGAUGAUAUCAUUCAAGUUGUUGUUAGAAAGAUCCAAACUUUCUAUUUGCUUCAAAUUUGAGAGCAUUGCAGAUAUAGAUCGAGCGAUAUUGUUGUGUGAUAAAAUUUCCAUCAUUUUUUUUAAUAAAUAUUAAACCAUUAUUUCUUUAAACAAAUAUGAAAAGAGAGUGCAGAAUCUAAAAUUCAUGAAUUUCUCAAAAACCUCAUUGCCUCUAUAAACCAUGAGAACAUCUUUAUGAUUUGUACAAUCGCAGCAUCUCUAGACUUCUUGCUCCUUAGCUUCAGUUCUUCUACAUUGGCUUUCUCCUUCUCACAGUGAUACUGAAUAGAGUCUUCUUCAGGAUAAUACAACAUUUUUUUAUCACUAUAAUCCACUCUAGGUCUAAGAUUUGAUACAGAGUUACUCCUACCAAAAUUAUUUUCUUAUACUAUUUUUCUAACGCGAAAAUCAUAAUUUUGCUUUUGAAAGAAACCCAUUACAAUUAAUGUCGUCUUAUAAUUGACAUAAUUAUUUUCUACUUCUUAAAUCUUAUCAUUAUCAUUUUUUGUACCUCUUCCACCCUCCAUAAAGUUACCAUUUAACUCCGCUUUUGAGAUUAAAUCUUAAACUUCUUUAGAUUAAUUUUUUCGUACCCUUGAAAUUGUUAUAAACACAAGUUAAAUCUUGACUUAUAUAACAUUUCAAGUUAAUGGCUAGGAUUAUGCAAAAUGAGAAAUAAUAGAUGAGUAGUAUACUGAAAAUAAAUAUAUAUUAUACGUGGAGCAGGUAUAAAAUCAAGUCCUCUUUCUAGUUUAUUUUCUAUAUAAAGAUUUAUAAUAACUUUUUGAAAAAUAAAAAUAAAGCAAAACAAAAUUAAAUAUUUUAAAAAUCUUUCUAUAUUUAUAAUAUUCUUAUUACUUAGAGUUUUAACUUAUAACAGAUCAAGAGACCUAGUUUGAAAAGCAUUUGAACAUAAGGACUUCAAAUGCUUUGGGCCAUGGGUCGAGACUUGAGAGGUGGUUGGUUUCAUUAUGGCCCAUCUUUCCUAAAUCUCACACCAAUUAAACAAUCAAAAUCAAACACUGCAUGCAAGCAAGCAAGAUCUUAAAACACAUUUUCUUACAAACACAAACAAAAUCUUUCAUUUUUAACAACAUUUCACAUACGACACAAGGUUCAAUCCAUCAGGGCAUAGCAAGAUCUCAAAACACAUUUUCUUACAAACACAAACAAAAUCUUUCCUUUUUAACAACAUUUCACAUACGACACAAGGUUCAAUCCAUCAGGGCAUAGCAAG